RNAcentral lists this ribosomal RNA (494 nucleotides) under uncultured bacterium. RNAcentral's name for it is "partial 16S ribosomal RNA". It matches the Rfam family "Bacterial small subunit ribosomal RNA", at positions 28 to 507 of the family's 1533-position model. The record is from RNAcentral.
GACGAACGCUGGCGGCGUGCUUAACACAUGCAAGUCGAACGGAAAGGCCUGCUUUCCCUUGUGGAUUGCGGGUACUCGCGUGGCGAACGGGUGAGUAACACGUGAGUGAUCUGCCCCCAACUUGGGUAUAAGCCUGGGAAACUGGGUCUAAUUCCCGAUAGGACUGCAGGGUGGUGCCUGUGGUGGAAAACGAUUUUCUAGUGGUUGGGGAUGAGCUCGCGGCCUAUCAGCUUGUUGGUGGGGUAAUGGCCUACCAAGGCGGCGACGGGUAGCCGGCCUGAGAGGGUGGACGGCCACAUUGGGACUGGGAUACGGCCCAGACUCCUACGGGAGGCAGCAGUGGGGAAUAUUGCACAAUGGGCGGAAGCCUGAUGCAGCGACGCCGCGUGGGGGAUGACGGCCUUCGGGUUGUAAACUCCUUUCGACCGCGAGGAAGCCACCUGGUUGGAAGGGUGGUGACGGUAGUGGUAGAAGAAGCACCGGCUAACUACGUG